This 478-nucleotide ribosomal RNA is filed under the name uncultured bacterium. RNAcentral's name for it is "bacterial SSU rRNA". It matches the Rfam family "Bacterial small subunit ribosomal RNA", at positions 29 to 506 of the family's 1533-position model. The record is from RNAcentral.
UUGAACGCUGGCGGCAUGCCUAACACAUGCAAGUCGCACGCGAAAGGGGGCAACCCCGAGUAGAGUGGCGGACGGGUGCGUAACGCGUAGGAAUAUACCUGGUAGUGGGGGACAACCCGGCGAAAGCCGGGCUAAUACCGCAUACGAUCUACGGAUGAAAGCAGGGGACCGCAAGGCCUUGCGCUAUCAGAUUAGCCUGCGUCGGAUUAGCUAGUUGGUGAGGUAAUGGCUCACCAAGGCAACGAUCCGUAGCUGGUUUGAGAGAACGACCAGCCACACUGGGACUGAGACACGGCCCAGACUCCUACGGGAGGCAGCAGUGGGGAAUAUUGGACAAUGGGGGCAACCCUGAUCCAGCAAUGCCGCGUGUGUGAAGAAGGCCUUCGGGUUGUAAAGCACUUUCGAUGGGGAAAAACAAGUCAGACCUAACACGUCUGGCCCUGAUGGUACCCAGAGAAGAAGCACCGGCUAACUCUGU